This 476-nucleotide ribosomal RNA is filed under the name uncultured bacterium. RNAcentral's name for it is "bacterial SSU rRNA". It matches the Rfam family "Bacterial small subunit ribosomal RNA", at positions 335 to 799 of the family's 1533-position model. The record is from RNAcentral.
ACUCCUACGGGAGGCAGCAGUGGGGAAUUUUGGACAAUGGGCGCAAGCCUGAUCCAGCAAUGCCGCGUGCAGGAUGAAGGCCUUCGGUUGUAAACUGCUUUUGUACGGAACGAAAAGACCCUGGGUUAAUACCCUGGGGUCAUGACGGUACCGUAAGAAUAAGCACCGGUUAACUACGUGCCAGCAGCCGCGGUAAUACGUAGGGGUGCGAGCGUUAAUCGGAAUUACUGGGCGUAAAGCGUGCGCAGGCGGUUUUGUAAGACAGAGGUGAAAUCCCCGGGGCUCAACCUGGGGAACUGCCUUUGUGACUGCAAGGCUAGAGUACGGCAGAGGGGGAUGGAAUUCCGCGUGUAGCAGUGAAAUGCGUAGAUAUGCGGAGGAACACCGAUGGCGAAGGCAAUCCCCUGGGCCUGUACUGACGCUCAUGCACGAAAGCGUGGGGAGCAAACAGGAUUAGAUACCCUGGUAGGAUAGCG